This 73-nucleotide transfer RNA is filed under the name Mycobacterium tuberculosis variant africanum K85. RNAcentral's name for it is "tRNA-Lys". It matches the Rfam family "tRNA". From Rfam's summary of the family: Transfer RNA (tRNA) molecules are approximately 80 nucleotides in length. Their secondary structure includes four short double-helical elements and three loops (D, anti-codon, and T loops). Further hydrogen bonds mediate the characteristic L-shaped molecular structure. tRNAs have two regions of fundamental functional importance: the anti-codon, which is responsible for specific mRNA codon recognition, and the 3' end, to which the tRNAs corresponding amino acid is attached (by aminoacyl-tRNA synthetases). tRNAs cope with the degeneracy of the genetic code in two manners: having more than one tRNA (with a specific anti-codon) for a particular amino acid; and 'wobble' base-pairing, i.e. permitting non-standard base-pairing at the 3rd anti-codon position. Lineage: Bacteria; Bacillati; Actinomycetota; Actinomycetes; Mycobacteriales; Mycobacteriaceae. The record is from RNAcentral.
GGGCCGUUAGCUCAGUUGGUAGAGCGGCUGAUUCUUAACCAGCGGGUCCGGGGUUCGAAACCCUGACGGCGCA